Erinaceus europaeus (western European hedgehog) is the source of this 316-nucleotide unclassified non-coding RNA. Its record names the gene 7SK. It matches the Rfam family "7SK RNA". Rfam says of the family: 7SK was discovered as an abundant small nuclear RNA in the mid-70s but a possible function has only recently been suggested. The record is from Ensembl. Lineage: Eukaryota; Metazoa; Chordata; Mammalia; Eulipotyphla; Erinaceidae.
GGAUGUGAGUGUGAUCUGGCUGCGACAUCUGUCACCCCAUUGAUUGUCAGAGUUGAUUGGCUGAUCUGGCUGGCUAGGCGGGUGUCCCCUUCCUCCUUCAUGGCUCUAUGUGCGUCCCUCCCAAAGCUGCGUGCUCAGUCGAAGAGGACGGCCUUCCCCGAAUAGAGACGGACUGGUCUUCGGUUGAGGGUGUAUGAGUAGCUGAGCUCCCCUGCUAGGACCUCAAAACAAGCUUUCAAGGUCAUUGAUAGGUGAUGCUGGGUCUACUGCUUGAACUGCAAUAAUGAACCCUCCACCAGGAAAGGCGGGGCUUCUU